This 249-nucleotide long non-coding RNA is filed under the name Nicotiana benthamiana. RNAcentral's name for it is "long non-coding RNA (NBEN_LNC001591)". Lineage: Eukaryota; Viridiplantae; Streptophyta; Magnoliopsida; Solanales; Solanaceae. The record is from RNAcentral.
GCAAAACGUGGCAGUGGCAAAUGUAGCUUUUCAGCCUUACGCCUUUAAGAUCUCACAAGAUGCAAAUGUGUGCUUUUGAUAGAUACUUGCACUCCAAUAAGCAACAUUUUCCAGGGAUAAGGAUAAUCAGUUAAACAAAAUAUUACAAUGAACUCCUUAGUGCAAACAUUUAAGAUGAUAUAUGUGUUUUUUUUUAUUAAGUAAGGUGUUCCAUUAAGACAAGAGGGGUUGCUCUGAUGGUAAGCAACC